Molecule: ribosomal RNA, 451 nt
Filed under: Parasutterella sp.
Lineage: Bacteria; Pseudomonadati; Pseudomonadota; Betaproteobacteria; Burkholderiales; Sutterellaceae
Description: bacterial SSU rRNA
Rfam family: Bacterial small subunit ribosomal RNA
Source: RNAcentral
GGUAACGUGGGGAGGAGCUUGCUCCACCCCGACGACGAGUGGCGAACGGGUGAGUAAUACAUCGGAACGUGUCCGCUCGUGGGGGACAACCAGCCGAAAGGUUGGCUAAUACCGCAUGAGUUCUACGGAAGAAAGAGGGGGACCCGCAAGGGCCUCUCGCGAGCGGAGCGGCCGAUGACUGAUUAGCCUGUUGGUGAGGUAACGGCUCACCAAAGCAACGAUCAGUAGCUGGUCUGAGAGGACGACCAGCCACACUGGGACUGAGACACGGCCCAGACUCCUACGGGAGGCAGCAGUGGGGAAUUUUGGACAAUGGGCGCAAGCCUGAUCCAGCUAUUCCGCGUGUGGGAUGAAGGCCCUCGGGUUGUAAACCACUUUUGUAGAGAACGAAAAGACAUCUUCGAAUAAAGGAUGUUGCUGACGGUACUCUAAGAAUAAGCACCGGCUAACU